UACGGAGGGGGCAAGCGUUAUCCGGAUUUACUGGGUGUAAAGGGAGCGUAGACGGCUGUGCAAGCCAGAUGUGAAAGCCCGGGGCUCAACCCCGGGACUGCAUUUGGAACUAUGUGGCUGGAGUGUCGGAGAGGCAGGCGGAAUUCCUAGUGUAGCGGUGAAAUGCGUAGAUAUUAGGAGGAACACCAGUGGCGAGGGCGGCCUGCUGGACGAUGACUGACGGUGAGGCGCGAAAGCGUGGGGAGCAAACAGG
RNAcentral lists this ribosomal RNA (253 nucleotides) under uncultured bacterium. RNAcentral describes it as "partial 16S ribosomal RNA". It matches the Rfam family "Bacterial small subunit ribosomal RNA", at positions 524 to 776 of the family's 1533-position model. The record is from RNAcentral.